Molecule: long non-coding RNA, 1294 nt
Organism: Bos taurus (domestic cattle)
Lineage: Eukaryota; Metazoa; Chordata; Mammalia; Artiodactyla; Bovidae
Source: Ensembl
CUGUAACCCCGGGGGCACCUCCACCAACUCUGCAUGUCGCUCAAAGUCAGCACCCCAAUGCGCCGCCUGGAUGCAGGUGAAAGCAAAGCAGAUGCCCAAACAAGGCCUCCGCCUCCUGUGCACAGGGUCCAAGGCACGGGGCACACAGCUCUGUCCCCUGGGCCCAGUGAGGAUCUGUUUUCACAGGGAUUACUCGCGCUCUGCCAUGCGGUUUUCACCCAAGUGGCCUACCAUGCCUCCUCCAGAUCUCCUCGGCAGGGGUCAGCAGCCCGUGGACUGAGCCGACGAAAGCAAGUGUCUGAGUGGUCCUGACGCAGGGCACGCUGCUGUCCCUGCAGGUGAGGGCACAGAUGUCCGGCCUCUGGCUUUCUGCAUCUUAGGACAGACCUAAAAACUCAAAAACAAAGCCAGUGCUCGCAGCAGCGCACGCGUGUUCUUGCCCAAAACCUGAAGACGUCUGUGCGUCCAGGAGACAUGACUUUCCGUUCGCAUGAUUAUUGGCUGUUUCUGUUUCCUGUUCUGCCAAAUGUCUGCCUUUUGCCCAUUUUUAAAAUCAGAUCCUAUGUCUCUAUCUUCUGAGGCGUGGGGAAGUCUGUAUUACUGGGUAGAAGUCAUUUGUUACUUGCAUGGAUUGUAAAUACUGUCUCAUAUUUGCGACCUGACUUUCACUUUCCUUAUAGUGACGUCUGUAAACAAAGGUUCUUUGUUCUUUAGCUUUUGAUGAAAACUUUAAUACAGAAAAGAAGUAGAAAGAGUAAUAUAAUGAAUACACAUAUAUCCACGGGAAAGGCUAAUUUUAUGUGUCAGCUCGGCCAGGUCCUGGUGUCCAGCUAUUUGGUCAAACACCAGUCAGAUAUUGCAGAAGGUAUUUUUCGAUGAGAUUACCAUUUUUGUGUGUUUGCACUGAGUCUUCCUUGCUGCGUGUGGCUCUUCUCUAGCUGCGGCGAGCGGGGCUCCUCGAUAGAUGCAGGCGCAGGCUUCUCAAUGCGGCGGCUUCUCCUGUGACAAAGCCCGUGCUCCAGAGUGAGGGCUCAGUAGUGGUGCUCAUGGGCUCAGUUACCCCAUGGCGUGUGGGAUCCUCUUGGAUCAGGGAUCAAACCCAUGUUCCCUGCAUUGGCGGGUGGAUUCUUAACCUCUGGACCAACAGCAAAGUCUGAUUGAACAUUUCAACCAGAAGAUUUGGAGUAAAACAGAUCACCUUCAUUGAGUGGGUGGACCUUGCCCAAUCAUCGAAGGCCUUCAGAGCAAAGACUGAGUUUUCCCAGAAGAAGGAUUUCAACCUCAAGAGUGAAAC